GACAGAGGGUGCAAACGUUGUUCGGAAUUACUGGGCGUAAAGCGCGUGUAGGCGGCUCUGCAAGUCAGGUGUGAAAUCCCACGGCUCAACCAUGGAAGUGCACUUGAAACUGCAGGGCUAGAGUCCUGGAGAGGAAGGUGGAAUGCUUGGUGUAGAGGUGAAAUUCGUAGAUAUCAAGCGGAACACCGGUGGCGAAGGCGGCCUUCUGGACAGUGACUGACGCUGAGACGCGAAAGCGUGGGGAGCAAACAGG
RNAcentral lists this ribosomal RNA (253 nucleotides) under uncultured bacterium. RNAcentral's name for it is "partial 16S ribosomal RNA". It matches the Rfam family "Bacterial small subunit ribosomal RNA", at positions 524 to 776 of the family's 1533-position model. The record is from RNAcentral.